AUGCAGUCGACGAUGAAGCCCUUCGGGGUGGAUUAGUGGCGAACGGGUGAGUAACACGUGGGCAAUCUGCCCUUCACUCUGGGACAAGCCCUGGAAACGGGGUCUAAUACCGGAUAACACUCUGUCCCGCAUGGGACGGGGUUAAAAGCUCCGGCGGUGAAGGAUGAGCCCGCGGCCUAUCAGCUUGUUGGUGGGGUAAUGGCCUACCAAGGCGACGACGGGUAGCCGGCCUGAGAGGGCGACCGGCCACACUGGGACUGAGACACGGCCCAGACUCCUACGGGAGGCAGCAGUGGGGAAUAUUGCACAAUGGGCGAAAGCCUGAUGCAGCGACGCCGCGUGAGGGAUGACGGCCUUCGGGUUGUAAACCUCUUUCAGCAGGGAAGAAGCGAAAGUGACGGUACCUGCAGAAGAAGCGCCGGCUAACUACGUGCCAGCAGCCGCGGUAAUACGUAGGGCGCAAGCGUUGUCCGGAAUUAUUGGGCGUAAAGAGCUCGUAGGCGGCUUGUCACGUCGGAUGUGAAAGCCCGGGGCUUAACCCCGGGUCUGCAUUCGAUACGGGCUAGCUAGAGUGUGGUAGGGGAGAUCGGAAUUCCUGGUGUAGCGGUGAAAUGCGCAGAUAUCAGGAGGAACACCGGUGGCGAAGGCGGAUCUCUGGGCCAUUACUGACGCUGAGGAGCGAAAGCGUGGGGAGCGAACAGGAUUAGAUACCCUGGUAGUCCACGCCGUAAACGUUGGGAACUAGGUGUUGGCGACAUUCCACGUCGUCGGUGCCGCAGCUAACGCAUUAAGUUCCCCGCCUGGGGAGUACGGCCGCAAGGCUAAAACUCAAAGGAAUUGACGGGGGGCCCGCACAAGC
This 859-nucleotide ribosomal RNA is filed under the name Streptomyces sp. DST23. RNAcentral describes it as "bacterial SSU rRNA". It matches the Rfam family "Bacterial small subunit ribosomal RNA", at positions 55 to 930 of the family's 1533-position model. Lineage: Bacteria; Bacillati; Actinomycetota; Actinomycetes; Kitasatosporales; Streptomycetaceae. The record is from RNAcentral.